Molecule: non-coding RNA, 25 nt
Filed under: Rattus norvegicus (Norway rat)
Lineage: Eukaryota; Metazoa; Chordata; Mammalia; Rodentia; Muridae
Source: RNAcentral
UUUCUGUAGAUUCAAGUGGACGGUU